Xiphias gladius (swordfish) is the source of this 1345-nucleotide RNA transcript. It is a transcript of the gene named chromosome 8 C15orf61 homolog, with no coding region annotated. NCBI's taxonomy places the organism in Eukaryota, Metazoa, Chordata, Actinopteri, Istiophoriformes, Xiphiidae. The record is from RefSeq and is a predicted model, not a curated record. The transcript is spliced from 4 exons.
ACUACGCAGCGCUGCGUUUCCAACCGGAUGACUUUAGCGGAAGUACCCGGUCAGCGCAAGGAGCACCGGCGCACGACGGCGGGGGAGAGCUGCCCUUUUUCUCAGGUCUCUUUGCUGGUUAGGAUAAAUCGUGCGUGUGUAUUCAACGCGUGUAUCCGGACGUGCAGCCCUGUGUAGAGGGAUGUUUUGUGUAACUCUUGUUAAAGCUCGCAAUCAGGGGCGGUCUUGUUUGCUAACCUUAGCUCAGGUUAGUUUGUUUUCUUUACAUUAUCCAGUGUGCGGCACCGUUUUUAAAAAAACGCGUUGUACGUGAGCUGAUUUAAGAUUUCGGUGCAUUUCGUCCAUGGCAAGUCAGAGAGUCGUUUGCAGGUAGUCCGGGUGAUCAAAUAAGAGAAGUAGCGAAUCAGUGUGCCUUCUCCACAAGUCAUGAGGGAGUUUUUGAGGAAGAUACACAGCACAUUUCUAAAUAUCGCCCUGUUCCCAAGCACACUCGGCAGGACAGGCCCUCGGCCAGCCGCCUCGGAGGUGCUGACCUGUCACCUGCUGCAGCGUAAACUCCCGCCGUGGACUUCAUACUGUGUCCGAUACAGCUCCGUCAACAAUGACCAGUUUGGACUGUCCAACUUUAACUGGAGGGUUCAGGGGUCCAACUACCAAAUACUGAGGACAGGCUGCUUCCCCUUUAUAAAAUAUCACUGUACCAAAGCGCCUCCACAGAACCUGGACUUUGAGGACAGGUUUUUCACCGUGUUGAAAGUGAUUAAUCUGGGCAUCCCUUGUCUGGCCUAUGGCAUUGGUUGCUGGAUGGUGGUGGGAGCCACAGAAACAGUGCAGACAAGUGUUGGACCUGUCACAGUCUAUUUUGCCUACAAAGAAGAAGAAGGCGCACAAUAUUAAACCAAGAAAUCCCAGUAUUUAAAAUGCAUCUUCAAGAAAGUAUUAUCUACACAGCUGCUGUAUUUACAGCAUUUCCCCAGGAUGAUGUGAGUCGGUGAAAUCUAAACUGUGGAGCAGAUAUAUGGCUUGGCAGAAACAAUUAUUGUGUGAACAACCCCUGCAGCUAAUGCUGGUGAGGUUAUCAUUAUUAAGCCUGUGGAUCGGCCACCAGCACUGUCUCCACGAACAGCCAAGGUACUAGAGCCAUCACUCAGAUCACUUUAAGGAUCACGCUGGUAUUACAUCUUAAUGCAGAGGUGUCAGCCAACAUUGCCGCUACAUCCUCUGCAAAAUGGCAUUUUUUGAAUUAUAAUGUGACAACUGAAACAUACAGCUCAUUACUUUUCAACUAGAAACAUCUCCAGUCUCAGGCAUAUGCACAUUUUGAUCAGCUUUAAAAGAGUAAUAC